Molecule: ribosomal RNA, 496 nt
Filed under: uncultured bacterium
Lineage: Bacteria
Description: partial 16S ribosomal RNA
Rfam family: Bacterial small subunit ribosomal RNA
Source: RNAcentral
GAUGAACGCUGGCGGCGUGCCUAAUACAUGCAAGUCGAGCGAACAGACGAGGAGCUUGCUCCUCUGACGUUAGCGGCGGACGGGUGAGUAACACGUGGAUAACCUACCAAUAAGACUGGGAUAACUUCGGGAAACCGGAGCUAAUACCGGAUAAUAUAUUGAACCGCAUGGUUCAAUAGUGAAAGACGGUUUUGCUGUCACUUAUAGAUGGAUCCGCGCCGCAUUAGCUAGUUGGUAAGGUAACGGCUUACCAAGGCAACGAUGCGUAGCCGACCUGAGAGGGUGAUCGGCCACACUGGAACUGAGACACGGUCCAGAAUCCUACGGGAGGCAGCAGUAGGGAAUCUUCCGCAAUGGGCGAAAGCCUGACGGAGCAACGCCGCGUGAGUGAUGAAGGUCUUCGGAUCGUAAAACUCUGUUAUUAGGGAAGAACAAAUGUGUAAGUAACUAUGCACGUCUUGACGGUACCUAAGCAGAAAGCCACGGCUAACUACGU